CUAUCCUGGUGUCACCAGUUUUCGCCGAUAGUCGUCGACAUCGUCCUCAGAGGUGGCAGCUUCAUGAUGAAUUUCAUCCAAGACAUUUGAAGGGUUCAUGGAUGAGGGCGUACAUUAUCAAUAAUUGGCGCGCAUCGUUUUUCGAAAAAAUCAACAGAUGUUCCAUGAGACUCUUGCACUAAUUGUGUUUGGGUGGUCUUUGCAAAAGCAAGAGAUGGUGCAAUAGCAAUAUCACUUAUGACAUUGGCAUUGAAUGGGUGUAUUCCACAUCGACGGAAAGCAGACUGAAUGUUCACGGGUGUAAGCGUGGCUGUGUACACCUUACAUGCAAUACAACAUACAUCAUUUUUGGUAACAACAUAACCCCCAGUAACUCUAAUAUGGUGAUGGCAUGCCGCAUUCCAUGCAUUUUCAAACGGACCGAAACACGAGACGUCCAUGGGUUGAAGUAUGUGGCUACAAUGGGGCGG
Molecule: long non-coding RNA, 470 nt
Organism: Dreissena polymorpha
Lineage: Eukaryota; Metazoa; Mollusca; Bivalvia; Myida; Dreissenidae
Exons: 3
Source: RefSeq, a predicted model, not a curated record